AAGCAUCGUAGGUGACCUGCGGAGGAUCAUUGUCGAAACCUGCCCAGCAGAACGACCCGCGAACGUGUUAAAAGAACCGAACGAUUCGGUCGGGGAGAGCGCGGGUCCCCGCGUUCCCCCGCCCGACCUAACAAAGAACCCCGGCGCGAUCUGCGCCRAGGAACUACAACGGGGGGAUCGUCGCCGCCGCCGCGCGCGCGCGGUUGGCGGCCGAUCCCUUGCUUUAAGAUCCAAAACGACUCUCGGCAACGGAUAUCUCGGCUCUCGCAUCGAUGAAGAACGUAGCGAAAUGCGAUACUUGGUGUGAAUUGCAGAAUCCCGUGAACCAUCGAGUCUUUGAACGCAAGUUGCGCCCUAAGCCACUAGGCCGAGGGCACGUCUGCCUGGGUGUCACGCAUCGUCGCCCCCCCGAAACCCCCUCGCCUGGCGGGGGUGGUGCCCGAGCGGGGCGGAUACUGGCCUCCCGCGUGCUUCGCCGCCCGCGGUUGGCCCAAAAUCGAGUCCCACGGCGUCGAGUGCCGUGACAAACGGUGGUUGGCCUGAUCCGAAAGAGCCUCGACACGCACCGUCACGCGCGCCCGUCGCCGCCGAGGUGGUUCUCCGCGACCCUAACCUUUCGCACGGCGACCCCAGGUCAGGCGGGACUACCCGCUGAGUUUAAGCAUAUCAAUAAGCGGAGGAAA
RNAcentral lists this unclassified non-coding RNA (683 nucleotides) under Elaeocarpus japonicus. RNAcentral's name for it is "partial contains internal transcribed spacer 1, 5.8S ribosomal RNA, internal transcribed spacer 2, and large subunit ribosomal RNA". Lineage: Eukaryota; Viridiplantae; Streptophyta; Magnoliopsida; Oxalidales; Elaeocarpaceae. The record is from RNAcentral.